RNAcentral lists this ribosomal RNA (505 nucleotides) under uncultured bacterium. RNAcentral's name for it is "bacterial SSU rRNA". It matches the Rfam family "Bacterial small subunit ribosomal RNA", at positions 1 to 508 of the family's 1533-position model. The record is from RNAcentral.
GGAUCCAGACUUUGAUCAUGGCUCAGGACGAACGCUGGCGGCGCGCCUAACACAUGCAAGUCGAGCGGGAAGCUUUUUAAGGAUUCUUCGGAUGAAUUAAAAAGUGGAGAGCGGCGGACGGGUGAGUAACGCGUGAGAAACCUGCCCUAUACAGGGGGAUAGCCAUUGGAAACGAUGAUUAAUACCCCAUAUGACCACAGUAUCGCAUGAUACAGCGGUGAAAACUCCGGUGGUAUAGGAUGGUCUCGCGUCUGAUUAGCUAGUUGGUGGGGUAACGGCCUACCAAGGCGACGAUCAGUAGCCGGCCUGAGAGGGUGACCGGCCACACUGGAACUGAGACACGGUCCAGACUCCUACGGGAGGCAGCAGUGGGGAAUAUUGCACAAUGGGCGAAAGCCUGAUGCAGCGACCCCGCGUGAACGAUGAAGGCUUUCGAGUCGUAAAGUUCUGUUCUUGGGGAAGAAAACGACGGUACCCAAGGAGAAAGCCCCGGCUAAAUACGUGC